RNAcentral lists this long non-coding RNA (414 nucleotides) under Nicotiana tabacum (common tobacco). RNAcentral's name for it is "long non-coding RNA (NTAB_LNC008473)". The record is from RNAcentral. Lineage: Eukaryota; Viridiplantae; Streptophyta; Magnoliopsida; Solanales; Solanaceae.
CCCCUGGCCUUAAAGGGUGUUAUUUCGAACUUAUCGAAAUAGUAACCCGUCGUCAUUCGAUCGAGGUCGAACUUUUCUUUUUGGCGAAGGCCUCUGGCCUUAAAGGGUGUUAUUUGAAACUUAUCGAAAUAGUAACCCAUUUUCGUUCGAUCGAGGUCGAACUCUUCUUUUUGGUGAAGGCCUCUGGCCUUAAAGGGUGUUAUUUCAAACUUAUCGAAAUAGUAACCCGUCGUCGUUCGAUCGAGGUCGAACUCUUCUUUUUGGCGAAGGCCCCUGGUCUUAAAGGGUGUUAUUUCGAACUUAUCAAAAUAGUAACCCGUCAUCGUUCAAUAGAAGUCGAACUCUUCUUUUUCGCAAAAGCCCCUGGCCUUAAAGGGUGUUAUUUCGAACUUAUCGAAAUAGUAACCCGUCGUC